AGGAUAAUAAUAAAAGAAUGAGAGAAGUGAAUAAGUAGAGUCGGUCACUCACGGUGCAUGGUCACUCUCUCUGCACGUUCUCUUGCCCUCUUCUCUUUCUCUUUUCUUCUCUCUCUCUCAUCAUCUUCCCUAUUAAAGACUCUAACCAGUCACUGACUCUAGAGAGUGUCUAUGUGAGAGAGAAAGAGAGAGACAGAGUCAGCGUCUACAAAAGGAGAGAAAGAUAUAUAUAGAGACCUUGGACCAUUAACCGAUCAAAUCAUAACAAAAAAACAAAAUGGAUGUGUAUGGCUUAUCUUCACCAGAUAACUUACUUAGAAUCGACGACCUUCUCGACUUCUCCAACGAAGACAUCUUCUCCGCCUCUUCUUCCACUUCCACCGCCGCCACUUCCUCUUCUUCCUUCCCUCCUCCUCAUAACCCUAAUUUCCUCCACCACCAUCUCUCUUCCUCCGC
This 456-nucleotide long non-coding RNA is filed under the name Eutrema salsugineum. RNAcentral describes it as "long non-coding RNA (ESAL_LNC001012)". The record is from RNAcentral. Lineage: Eukaryota; Viridiplantae; Streptophyta; Magnoliopsida; Brassicales; Brassicaceae.